GACGAACGCUGGCGGCGUGCUUAACACAUGCAAGUCGAACGGAAAGGCCCUGCUUUUGUGGGGUGCUCGAGUGGCGAACGGGUGAGUAACACGUGAGUAACCUGCCCUUGACUUUGGGAUAACUUCAGGAAACUGGGGCUAAUACCGGAUAGGAGCUCCUGCUUCAUGGUGGGGGUUGGAAAGUUUCGGCGGUUGGGGAUGUACUCGCGGCUUAUCAGCUUGUUGGUGUGGUAGUGGCUUACCAAGGCUUUGACGGGUAGCCGGCCUGAGAGGGUGACCGGCCACAUGGGGACUGAGAUACGGCACAGACUACUACGGGAGGCAGCAGUGGGGAAUAUUGCACAAUGGGCGGAAGCCUGAUGCAGCAACGCCGCGUGCGGGAUGACGGCCUUCGGGUUGUAAACCGCUUUCGCCUGUGACGAAGCGUGAGUGACGGUAAUGGGUAAAGAAGCACCGGCUAACUACGUG
This 468-nucleotide ribosomal RNA is filed under the name uncultured bacterium. RNAcentral's name for it is "partial 16S ribosomal RNA". It matches the Rfam family "Bacterial small subunit ribosomal RNA", at positions 28 to 507 of the family's 1533-position model. The record is from RNAcentral.